RNAcentral lists this ribosomal RNA (491 nucleotides) under uncultured bacterium. RNAcentral describes it as "partial 16S ribosomal RNA". It matches the Rfam family "Bacterial small subunit ribosomal RNA", at positions 29 to 507 of the family's 1533-position model. The record is from RNAcentral.
AGUGAACGCUGGCGGUAGGCCUAACACAUGCAAGUCGAACGGCAGCACAGUAAGAGCUUGCUCUUACGGGUGGCGAGUGGCGGACGGGUGAGGAAUACAUCGGAAUCUACUUUUUCGUGGGGAUAACGUAGGGAAACUUACGCUAAUACCACAUACGACCUACGGGUGAAAGCAGGGGAUCUUCGGACCUUGCGCGAUUGAAUGAGCCGAUGUCGGAUUAGCUAGUUGGCGGGGUAAAGGCCCACCAAGGCGACGAUCCGUAGCUGGUCUGAGAGGAUGAUCAGCCACACUGGAACUGAGACACGGUCCAGACUCCUACGGGAGGCAGCAGUGGGGAAUAUUGGACAAUGGGCGCAAGCCUGAUCCAGCCAUACCGCGUGGGUGAAGAAGGCCUUCGGGUUGUAAAGCCCUUUUGUUGGGAAAGAAAAGCAGCAGGUUAAUACCCCGCUGUUCUGACGGUACCCAAAGAAUAAGCACCGGCUAACUUCGUG